CCUACGGGAGGCAGCAGUGAGGAAUAUUGGUCAAUGGACGCAAGUCUGAACCAGCCAUGCCGCGUGCAGGAAGACGGCUCUAUGAGUUGUAAACUGCUUUUGUACGAGGGUAAACGCAGAUACGCGUAUCUGUCUGAAAGUAUCGUACGAAUAAGGAUCGGCUAACUCCGUGCCAGCAGCCGCGGUAAUACGGAGGAUUCAAGCGUUAUCCGGAUUUAUUGGGUUUAAAUGGUGCGUAGGCGGUCGGAUAAGUUAGAGGUGAAAUCCCGAGGCUCAACUUCGGAAUUGCAUCUGAUACUGUUCGGCUAGAGAGUAGUUGCAGUAGGCGGAAUGUAUGGUGUAGCGGUGAAAUGCUUAGAGAUCAUACAGAACACCGAUUGCGAAGGCAGCUUACCAAGCUACUUCUGACGUUGAGGCACGAAAGCGUGGGGAGCGAACAGGAUUAGAUACCCUAGUAGUC
Molecule: ribosomal RNA, 460 nt
Filed under: uncultured bacterium
Lineage: Bacteria
Description: partial 16S ribosomal RNA
Rfam family: Bacterial small subunit ribosomal RNA
Source: RNAcentral